This 484-nucleotide ribosomal RNA is filed under the name uncultured bacterium. RNAcentral describes it as "partial 16S ribosomal RNA". It matches the Rfam family "Bacterial small subunit ribosomal RNA", at positions 30 to 507 of the family's 1533-position model. The record is from RNAcentral.
AUUGAACGCUGGCGGCAGGCCUAACACAUGCAAGUCGAGCGGAUGAAGGGAGCUUGCUCCUGGAUUCAGCGGCGGACGGGUGAGUAAUGCCUAGGAAUCUGCCUGGUAGUGGGGGAUAACGUCCGGAAACGGGCGCUAAUACCGCAUACGUCCUGAGGGAGAAAGUGGGGGAUCUUCGGACCUCACGCUAUCAGAUGAGCCUAGGUCGGAUUAGCUAGUUGGUGGGGUAAAGGCCCACCAAGGCGACGAUCCGUAACUGGUCUGAGAGGAUGAUCAGUCACACUGGAACUGAGACACGGUCCAGACUCCUAAGGGAGGCAGCAGUGGGGAAUAUUGGACAAUGGGCGAAAGCCUGAUCCAACCAUGCCGCGUGUGUGGAGAAGGUCUUCGGAUUGUAAAGCACUUUAAGUUGGGAGGAAGGGCAGUAAGUUAAUACCUUGCUGUUUUGACGUUACCAACAGAAUAAGCACCGGCUAACUUCGUG